Molecule: non-coding RNA, 1732 nt
Organism: Candidatus Harrisonbacteria bacterium
Lineage: Bacteria; Candidatus Harrisoniibacteriota
Source: Rfam
CUGCGAGACGGAUAUGUCAAGCAGGUGCGAAAGCAGGACUUAGUGAACCAAUGAUUGCUCGUAGGAGCGUCAACGAUUAACAGAUAAAAGCUACUCCGGGGAUAACAGGCUGGUACUGUCCGAGCGUCAACAUGGGCGCUCAUUAAAUCGGCUUAUAACGGUGAAACCUUCCUUAAUUUGUGAUAAAAUUAAGAUGGCAAUACCGUGGGAAGAUAGUUAUAAAAUACACUUGUCUUGGAGAAUAAACGAAUAAAACUGAUGAGAGCAGUUGAGCUGUCCGCAGAUCAAAUAUCUGUUCUGGUCGGCUCAUUGCUUGGCGAUGGAUAUCUUGACGAGACCACUAUGGGCUACUCAUUUAGAUUACAUCAUGGAAUAAAACAAAAAGAUUAUAUUAAUUGGAAAUAUAAAAUUUUAAGCAAUAUCGUCAAUUCUCCACCGAAAGUGUAUGGAACAAGAAUGUAUUUCAGAACCGUUUCUCAUCCAUAUUUAGUUGAUUUGAGAAAAUUAUUCUACAAAAAAGAUAGGAGUAAGGUUAUUCCAGAAAAUUUUCUUGAAAAAUUUCUUAAUCCCUUAUCUUUAGCAGUUUGGAUUAUGGAUGACGGAACAAAUGAGUUGGGCAGUGGUAAAUGUGUGAAAAUAAAUUCUCAAAGUUUCAGUUAUGCUGAUAAUGAAAUUAUCUGUAAGCUUUUGAGAAAUAAAUUUGAUUUGAAAGCGAAUAUAAACAAAGAUAGAACCUACUUUCGAAUCAGAUUUCACAAAGAAAGCAUGUCGCAACUAAUAGAAAUGGUUCGACCAUAUAUUUUACCUUCAUUGUUUUAUAAACUAUCCCCGUAACGACUUAUCGGGUUCGACUCGAUAGAUAGUAAGUGAGGAGACUCCGCAACUUAACUAACGGAGUCAAAGACUUAUUAUAAUACGCUGAUCAGGCACUUUCUUGAAUUUUAUGAAAGUGACUGAGUGAUAUAGUCUGAACUUGUCGAAAGACAAGAAUGGAAAAUCUAGCCAUAGCGACGACAGUGUUCGGCACCUCGAUGUCGGCUCGCCUUAUCCUGGGACUGAAGAAGGCCCCAAGGGUUUAGCUGUUCGCUAAUUAAAAAGGUACGCGAGCUGGGUUCAAACCGUCGUGAGACAGGUUGGUCCUUAUCUGGUGUGGGCGUUGAUACUUGAGGGGGGUUGUUCCUAGUAAAAGUUUUGCUACUUUAUAGGGUAACCUGUAUUGAAAAUUCGGCUAAUAACGGUGAAGGCUCUUGUUUGCUAUGCAAUUCGGUCCGAAAAGCAUAGGUUAAACUGAUAAGAGUUAAUACCGUGGGAAGUUUAUCUGCUUAAAUUUUUGAAGCGGAUAGACCCCGUAACGACUUACCCAGCACCAUUUUUAGAAAAAUAGUGCUGGAUGGAUGGUUGGUUUUAACCAACUAUAAUAUGCCGACAUCCGCUUUAAGGCGGAAGAAGAUAUAGUCUACACUUCUAGCGAUAGAAGAUUAUGUGACGAGAGGACCGGAAUGAGUGUACCUCUAGUGUGCCAGCUGUCGUGCCAACGGCACUGCUGGGUAGCUAUGUACAUGACCGAUAAGCGCUGAAAGCAUAUAAGCGCGAAGCGGGCCCCAAGAUUAGGUAUCGUGUCCGCCUUUGGCGGACGAAGAUCCGUGGGAGAUUACCACGUUGAUAGGAUGCAGGUGUAAGUCCGGUAACGGAUUCAGCCGAGCAUUACUAAUAGAUCAAUUAAUUCCUUGCA